AACGCACAUUGCGCCCUUUGGUAUUCCGAGGGGCAUGCCUGUUCGAGCGUCAUUACACCACUCAAGCCUGGCUUGGUAUUGGGCCCCGGGGGCGACCCGGACCCGAAUGUUACCCGGCUGGACGACCCAGAUCUCAGCGUUGUGGCAACAAAUUCGCUGGCGAGAAGGGGCGGCCGCGCCGUUAAACUUACUCAAGGUUGACCUCGGAUCAGGUAGGGAUUCCCGCUGGACUUAA
RNAcentral lists this unclassified non-coding RNA (235 nucleotides) under uncultured fungus. RNAcentral's name for it is "partial contains 5.8S ribosomal RNA, internal transcribed spacer 2, and large subunit ribosomal RNA". Lineage: Eukaryota; Fungi. The record is from RNAcentral.